This 380-nucleotide long non-coding RNA is filed under the name Homo sapiens (human). RNAcentral describes it as "HSALNT0304569". Lineage: Eukaryota; Metazoa; Chordata; Mammalia; Primates; Hominidae. The record is from RNAcentral.
GAAACCCAUCCUAAAUACAGAUGAAAACUUUGGGGACUCCAAAUAGCCAACACAGUCUUGAAAAGUAAAGAAGUUGGAGGAUUCACAAGUUUAAAUUCUGGUGAAAUCUACACCCAUGUCCAAAUACAGAGAAGAAGAGGGCCCUUAUGCCUCUCAGGGACUGGCUGUCAUCUAGCCACUUGAGUUUACACGCACACCAAGUUCGUUUUCUAAUGGGGAAUCACACUGUAAUUAUAAUUUUGAAAAACGUGAAAAAUAAUCAACCUGUCUUCAGUCCAUUGACCACUUGAAAGGAACCACUGAAAGAAGCUCUUCGUCAAUGUUUGAAGAAGCAGUACCAAAUAACAGCCAUCAGUACUACCAGCACUGAAUGGUCUACA